This 489-nucleotide ribosomal RNA is filed under the name uncultured bacterium. Its description in RNAcentral is "bacterial SSU rRNA". It matches the Rfam family "Bacterial small subunit ribosomal RNA", at positions 791 to 1277 of the family's 1533-position model. The record is from RNAcentral.
UAGUCCACGCAGUAAACGAUGAGUGCUAAUUGUCGGGAUCUUAGAGUCUCGGUGGUGAAGCUAACGCGUUAAGCACUCCGCCUGGGGAGUACGGCCGCAAGGCUAAAACUCAAAGGAAUUGACGGGGACCCGCACAAGCAGUGGAGCAUGUGGUUUAAUUCGAUGCAACGCGAGAAACCUUACCAGCUCUUGUAUCCUGGUUACGAUUUUCAGAGAUGAAUUUCUUCAGUUCGGCUGAACCAGUGACAGGUGUUGCAUGGCUGUCGUCAGCUCGUGUCGUGAGAUGUUAGGUUAAGUCCUUCAACGAGCGCAACCCUCAUCCUUAUUUGCCAUCGGGUAAUGCUGGGGACUAUAAGGAAACUGCCAACGACAAGUUGGAGGAAGUGGGGAUGAUGUCAAGUCAUCAUGGCCCUUAUGAGCUGGGCUACACACAUGCUACAAUGGUGGUCACAACGGGCUAGCAAAAGNGUAAUCUGGAGCCAAUCCUUA